AACGAACGCUGGCGGCAGGCCUAACACAUGCAAGUCGAACGCUGUAGCAAUACAGAGUGGCAGACGGGUGAGUAACGCGUGGGAACAUGCCCUUCGGUUCGGAAUAACUCAGGGAAACUUGAGCUAAUACCGGAUACGCCCUUAGGGGGAAAGAUUUAUUGCCGAAGGAUUGGCCCGCGUCCGAUUAGCUAGUUGGUGAGGUAAUGGCUCACCAAGGCGACGAUCGGUAGCUGGUCUGAGAGGAUGAUCGGCCACACUGGGACUGGGACACGGCCCAGACUCCUACGGGAGGCAGCAGUGGGGAAUAUUGGACGAUGGGCGCAAGCCUGAUCCAGCCAUGCCGCGUGAGUGAUGAAGGCCCUAGGGUUGUAAAGCUCUUUCGCCAGGGACGAUAAUGACGGUACCUGGAUAAGAAGCCCCGGCUAACUUCGUGCCAGCAGCCGCGGUAA
Molecule: ribosomal RNA, 449 nt
Filed under: uncultured bacterium
Lineage: Bacteria
Description: partial 16S ribosomal RNA
Rfam family: Bacterial small subunit ribosomal RNA
Source: RNAcentral